This 1206-nucleotide long non-coding RNA is filed under the name Helianthus annuus (common sunflower). Lineage: Eukaryota; Viridiplantae; Streptophyta; Magnoliopsida; Asterales; Asteraceae. The record is from RNAcentral.
AUGAAAGAAUCACUAUUGAAAAAAUUUGCUCCUAAGAUUAUGUUAGAUAGUAGAUAUCUAUCCUACAUAAUAAAAGACAUACUAGGGUGUCACAUGGCAUUUAUCUAGGGUUCUUAUGCCACAUGGCUUUUUUUAGCCUACACAAUUCCACGUGGCAAUUUCCUAGCAAUAGUAGCACGGGACGCGGGAUCCGAAUUUGGAUGAAUCGAACCAUUUCAAUUUCGGGUCCCUUUAUAUUCUUUUUUUCUCACUCUUCUUUCUCACACCAUUAGGGUUUCACCUCAUUCUCUCUGGCAUUCUUCUCUGCUGAACAUCAAGAUCUUCAGAUUAAUUCUUUUUUCUUCUUUAUUCAAUCGAUCAAUCGAUUGAACUGAAAUCAUUCGCUAGGGUUCAAGAAUCUUUAUCUGAUUACCCAAGAAUCUUCAUUGGUCUCUCCCAAUUUCAACAAGUUACCCCUUUUCUCUCUUUCUAGGUUUCUCCAAUCUUCUAUCUCUCUCAUCAUUUCUCCAGAUCAAGAUCAGCUGGUUAGGUAAAAGAAGGUUUAGCGUCAUAUUAAAGCCAUUAUCAGACACAACUCUUGAAGACUCAUCCACUGGUCUAAUUGAGAGCGUUUACGGAUAAGUCUAUUUGAAAAGAGGAAGAAUAGAAGCAAGAAGUUCAUUUGCAGUAGCAAUUCUGAAGAACUCUUCCGUUUAGUAUGUCCUCAACCUUAUUUGGCACGGACACCAGGUCAUGUACUCAAUCAGCUUGCUUUUUGGAUGAUGUAUGGAUAUAUUCGCGACCAAUAUGUGCUGUUGACAACUAUCAAUAUGGCUAAGAGGUUAGCACACAAUGGCUCUUUAAGUGAUUAGCACUUGGGAUUUCAUCUAUGUUUGGUACUUCAUAUAUUACAUUAGUUAUUUCGGACGUUGAUAUUCUAUUAAACACGUAGAAUUGACAUUCUUUUUUCUUUCUAAUCCAAGCUGUACGUUCUGAUCUGUAGAUGCAAGACAUAAAGAAUUGAUGGGUGAUGAACUACUGCCACAAUCAUUCUUGAAUUCUUAUUAUUACUUAACUUUUUUACCUUUUUGAAUUGAAUAGUGUCUAAAGGGACAUGUAUGCCUCAUAAUGAAGACAAUGAACAAAAUGUAUAUCGUUUUUAGUGCUAUAAAAGAUCCUCAAACCCUAAUGUAUCACCAUCUCUAUUUACGACACCAUCCCAAGCUU